AGAGCCUUCUUCAUUCCGCACUCA
RNAcentral lists this non-coding RNA (24 nucleotides) under Arabidopsis thaliana (thale cress). Lineage: Eukaryota; Viridiplantae; Streptophyta; Magnoliopsida; Brassicales; Brassicaceae. The record is from RNAcentral.